This 468-nucleotide ribosomal RNA is filed under the name uncultured bacterium. RNAcentral's name for it is "partial 16S ribosomal RNA". It matches the Rfam family "Bacterial small subunit ribosomal RNA", at positions 28 to 507 of the family's 1533-position model. The record is from RNAcentral.
GACGAACGCUGGCGGCGUGCUUAACACAUGCAAGUCGAACGGAAAGGCCCUGCUUUUGUGGGGUGCUCGAGCGGCGAACGGGUGAGUAACACGUGAGUAACCUGCCCUUGACUUUGGGAUAACUUCAGGAAACUGGGGCUAAUACCGGAUAGGAGCUCCUGCUGCAUGGUGGGGGUUGGAAAGUUUCGGCGGUUGGGGAUGGACUCGCGGCUUAUCAGCUUGUUGGUGGGGUAGUGGCUUACCAAGGCUUUGACGGGUAGCCGGCCUGGGAGGGUGACCGGCCACAUGGGGACUGAGAUACGGCCCAGACUCCUACGGGAGGCAGCAGUGGGGAAUAUUGCACAAUGGGCGGAAGCCUGAUGCAGCAACGCCGCGUGCGGGAUGACGGCCUUCGGGUUGUAAACCGCUUUCGCCUGUGACGAAGCGUGAGUGACGGUAAUGGGUAAAGAAGCACCGGCUAACUACGUG